Molecule: non-coding RNA, 893 nt
Organism: Ictidomys tridecemlineatus (thirteen-lined ground squirrel)
Lineage: Eukaryota; Metazoa; Chordata; Mammalia; Rodentia; Sciuridae
Source: RefSeq, a predicted model, not a curated record
CAAGUUGACUAAGGCAGAGAGACUUAAGGCCACGUCCUGCUGUGGGUGGGGGAAGCCAAUGAAUCCGCAGCCCAGAACGCCGUUGGGUAAGAAUGGCAACAGUUGCCAAGCAGCAAAACCACUUUAGAGGGGUGCAGGUGUCGGGAUUAUGUCUGAGAGGUACUCAAAUGUUCCUGAGCUCCGUACUGCAAGGACAGGUCAGAUAUUUCUGGAGGAAUUUCCCGGUGAUGGCAGUGGGAGAUCUAGUAUGCAUUUGUCCACAGCAGAGAGAAAAAACAGCAGGCAACUGAAAUCAAGGUGUCCGCAGGACUGCACUCCUUCUGAAGGCUGUAUGGGAAGAUCCUUCUCUGCCUCCUCCAAUUUCUGGUGGCUCCCGCUGUUCCUUAACUGAUGGCAGCAACACGUGGCUCUCUGCCUCCAGCGCCACCUGGCUUUCUCCCUCAUGUCUCCUUAUAUUUUAAGGACACCCGUCACCUUGGAUGAAGAGCCAAACCUACUGUAUAUGAUAUCCACUGUGCAUAAUUCAGAGGGUAGGAUUUCCUGUCAUUGUUCAUGUGAUUCCAAUGUCCAGAGAAGAGACGAUAUUCAAAACACCUCAAUCAGUAACUGGCACAAAAUAUUCCCCCACUAGGUAUCUCCGUGCCCUUUCUUUUUCUUAUAAGAACAGCAGUCACUGGAUUAGAGCCCGCCCUAAAUCCAAUGUGCUAUCAUCCCAAAAUAUUUGGGACAUCUUGACAAGUGACAAGUGAAUAAAUGACAAGUGUGAAGUCCCCGUUUCCAAAUAAGUUCACGUCAUGGGUCCUGAAUAUUAGGACUCUGACAGAUCUUUUUGGAAGACUCGAUUCCACCCACUACAUUUACUGAGGAUUUUUGUUAAAUUGACCUUAAAUCAA